GUGGGGAAUUUUGGACAAUGGGCGCAAGCCUGAUCCAGCAAUGCCGCGUGUGUGAAGAAGGUCUUCGGAUUGUAAAGCACUUUAAGUUGGGAGGAAGGGCAGUAAGUUAAUACCUUGCUGUUUUGACGUUACCAACAGAAUAAGCACCGGCUAACUUCGUGCCAGCAGCCGCGGUAAUACGAAGGGUGCAAGCGUUAAUCGGAAUUACUGGGCGUAAAGCGCGCGGAGGUGGUUUUGUAAGUUGGAGGUGAAAUCCCCGGGCUCAACCUGGGAACUGCCUCCAAAACUGGAUGACUAGAGUACGGUAGAGGGUAGUGGAAUUUCCUGUGUAGCGGUGAAAUGCGUAGAUAUAGGAAGGAACACCAGUGGCGAAGGCGACUACCUGGACUGAUACUGACACUGAGGUGCGAAAGCGUGGGGAGCAAACAGGAUUAGAAACCCGGGUAGUCC
This 450-nucleotide ribosomal RNA is filed under the name uncultured bacterium. RNAcentral describes it as "bacterial SSU rRNA". It matches the Rfam family "Bacterial small subunit ribosomal RNA", at positions 354 to 796 of the family's 1533-position model. The record is from RNAcentral.